Molecule: ribosomal RNA, 253 nt
Filed under: uncultured bacterium
Lineage: Bacteria
Description: partial 16S ribosomal RNA
Rfam family: Bacterial small subunit ribosomal RNA
Source: RNAcentral
UACGUAGGGGGCAAGCGUUGUCCGGAAUCAUUGGGCGUAAAGAGCGUGUAGGCGGUUCGGUAAGUCGGCUGUGAAAGUCCAGGGCUCAACCCUGGGAUGCCGGUCGAUACUGCCGGACUAGAGUUCGGAAGAGGCGAGUGGAAUUCCCGGUGUAGCGGUGAAAUGCGCAGAUAUCGGGAGGAACACCUAUGGCGAAGGCAGCUCGCUGGGACGUUACUGACGCUGAGGAGCGAAAGCGUGGGGAGCGAACAGG